RNAcentral lists this ribosomal RNA (465 nucleotides) under uncultured bacterium. RNAcentral's name for it is "SSU rRNA". It matches the Rfam family "Bacterial small subunit ribosomal RNA", at positions 26 to 518 of the family's 1533-position model. The record is from RNAcentral.
AGGAUGAACGCUGGCGGCGUGCCUAAGACAUGCAAGUCGAAAGGGUUUAGACCCUUGGCGAACGGGUGAGUAACGCGUGGGUACUUCCAUUAAGUUGAGCAUAACCCGCCGAAAGGCGGGAUAAUACUCGAUGUGUCCAGCCCCAGUUGUAAAACUGGAGCUGGGUAAAGUCGCAAGACGCUUAAUGCGAGGCCCGCGUCCCAUCAGCUAGUUGGUAAGGUAACGGCUUACCAAGGCUAUGACGGGUAGCGGAACCGAGAGGUUGAUCCGCCACACUGGGACUGCGACACGGCCCAGACUCCUACGGGAGGCAGCAGUUUGGAAUUUUGGACAAUGGGCGAAAGCCUGAUCCAGCGACGCCGCGUGCACGAUGAAGGCCUUCGGGUCGUAAAGUGCUUUGCUGAUGAACUAAUUUUUGAGCGUAAUCAGCGAAUAAGAGGUUGCUAACUCUGCGCCAGCAGCCGC